UACGUAGGGGGCAAGCGUUGUCCGGAUUUAUUGGGCGUAAAGCGCGCGCAGGUGGUGGAUUAAGUUGUGGGUAAAAGGCAUUGGCUCAACCAAUGUAAGCCUGCAAAACUGGUUCACUUGAGUGCAGGAGAGGGGAGUGGAAUUCCGGGUGUAGUGGUGAAAUGCGUAGAGAUCCGGAGGAACACCAGUGGCGAAGGCGACACGCUGGGCCGUACCUGACACUGAUGCGCGACAGCAUGGGGAGCAAACAGG
RNAcentral lists this ribosomal RNA (252 nucleotides) under uncultured bacterium. RNAcentral's name for it is "partial 16S ribosomal RNA". It matches the Rfam family "Bacterial small subunit ribosomal RNA", at positions 524 to 776 of the family's 1533-position model. The record is from RNAcentral.